AAAGUCGUAACAAGGUUUCCGUAGGUGAACCUGCGGAAGGAUCAUUAACACGUAUCCAACGUUAAACCCCCCUGUGAACUUUUAUCGUGCUCUUGCAGCCCGCGAGUAACAGCAAUCCUGGUAAAUCAGUCGCGAAAGUUGUUAUUGAUUCAGGACCUCUGUCUUGUGAGAAGUUAUAGUUGCAAUUGAGCGUUCGAGGCAAGUGGCUUGGUUUCCCAAACCAACUGGCGUCUGAAAGUGUCGCUGGUUGUCUAAGGAUAACGCUUUACGAUCGCUGUAGGCCGAACACCGGCCGGCGACUAGGUCACCGGGCUCACGCCCCUUAAUAACCCCACAGUUUGCCAACACGCAACCACGACCAACGCAAGUGCACCGGCGUGGUUGAAAACGAACAACUGUUAACAAUGGAUAUCUUGGUUCUC
This 422-nucleotide unclassified non-coding RNA is filed under the name Cercozoa sp. RNAcentral's name for it is "partial contains small subunit ribosomal RNA, internal transcribed spacer 1, and 5.8S ribosomal RNA". The stretch from base 1 to 47 matches the Rfam family "Eukaryotic small subunit ribosomal RNA", at positions 1785 to 1831 of the family's 1831-position model. The record is from RNAcentral. Lineage: Eukaryota; Cercozoa.